This 516-nucleotide ribosomal RNA is filed under the name Helicobacter pylori. Its description in RNAcentral is "bacterial LSU rRNA". It matches the Rfam family "Bacterial large subunit ribosomal RNA", at positions 1615 to 2141 of the family's 2925-position model. Lineage: Bacteria; Pseudomonadati; Campylobacterota; Epsilonproteobacteria; Campylobacterales; Helicobacteraceae. The record is from RNAcentral.
AAGCCUCUAAGCAUAUCCAUAGUCGUCCGUACCGCAAACCGACACAGGUAGAUGAGAUGAGUAUUCUAAGGCGCGUGAAAGAACUCUGGUUAAGGAACUCUGCAAACUAGCACCGUAAGUUCGCGAUAAGGUGUGCCGCAGCAAUGCGGUCUCAGCAAAGAGUCCCUCCCGACUGUUUACCAAAAACACAGCACUUUGCCAACUCGUAAGAGGAAGUAUAAGGUGUGACGCCUGCCCGGUGCUCGAAGGUUAAGAGGAUGCGUCAGUCGCAAGAUGAAGCGUUGAAUUGAAGCCCGAGUAAACGGCGGCCGUAACUAUAACGGUCCUAAGGUAGCGAAAUUCCUUGUCGGUUAAAUACCGACCUGCAUGAAUGGCGUAACGAGAUGGGAGCUGUCUCAACCAGAGAUUCAGUGAAAUUGUAGUGGAGGUGAAAAUUCCUCCUACCCGCGGCAAGACGGAGAGACCCCGUGGACCUUUACUACAACUUAGCACUGCUAAUGGGAAUAUCAUGCGCAG